This 398-nucleotide ribosomal RNA is filed under the name uncultured bacterium. RNAcentral's name for it is "bacterial SSU rRNA". It matches the Rfam family "Bacterial small subunit ribosomal RNA", at positions 360 to 772 of the family's 1533-position model. The record is from RNAcentral.
AAUUUUCCGCAAUGGGCGCAAGCCUGACGGAGCAACGCCGCGUGGGGGAUGACGCUUUUCGGAGUGUAAACCCCUUUUCUCAGGGAAGAAGACAGUGACGGUACCUGAGGAAGAAGGACCGGCUAGCUACGUGCCAGCAGCCGCGGUAAUACGUAGGGUCCGAGCGUUGUCCGGAGUUACUGGGCGUAAAGCGCGCGCAGGUGGCUCGAUAAGACUGGCGUGAAAGCCCCCGGCUCAACCGGGGAGGGUCGUUGGUGACUGUCGGGCUUGAAGACAGCAGGGGCAGGUGGAAUUCCCGGUGUAGUGGUGAAAUGCGUAGAGAUCGGGAGGAACACCCGUGGCGAAGGCGGCCUGCUGGGCUGGUCUUGACGCUGAGGCGCGAAGGCGUGGGGAGCGAA